Molecule: long non-coding RNA, 490 nt
Filed under: Equus caballus (horse)
Lineage: Eukaryota; Metazoa; Chordata; Mammalia; Perissodactyla; Equidae
Description: lncRNA (ENSECAG00000041004.2)
Source: RNAcentral
CCCAAGAGAUGGUGUAUACAUAGCACUUUGUCAACUGUAAAGUCCUAUGUAGAUAUUGUAAUUUAGCCUUGGCUAGAGAAGGCCUCACAAAGGAGGUAGGGUACAUAAGCCUGAGCUGGAAGAGUAGGUGGCAGGUGGCAGAGGGGUGAGGAGGGCCUUACAGGUGGGGGGGACAUGGGUGCUGCUGGGAGGUUGGAGUGAGCAUGGUCAGGAGACAUGAGUUGGCCCUCCUCACAUCCAACUUGAGAGGUUGGUGCUCACCUCUCCCUUCCACAGAUGAGGAUGCUGGGGGAUCCGAAGGCUGCAGGGGAAUCCAGCGCCUCCGGGGAGGCCAUUCCGGGCAGGCCCGGUCGGGACGGCCCCGCUUGCAUGCCUGAGUGGGAGCCGGCCUUCUGGGCUCUGCUCCGGGGACCCGCCCCGUCCUGGGGACCGGGAGCCAGGACCGACCCCUCCGUCGACCCCGUCCGCGGGCAGUGAGCUGUGCCGGCAG